CGGACAGAACAUAUAUGGUAGUUCAAGCUCACACAAUCGUGCUUAUCUUUGGAGCGUGCUACAAACAACGCGAAUCACGGUGAGAGGAAUAUAAAGGGCAGUAAACAAAUUAUGGAUCCUACUAAGAUCGGCUCACUGGUCGGCCUUUUGUCCCGUCGAAAACCACUUGUAGUCUCGGAUGGCGAGCCGGGACUAAGGGAUCGGGACUAAAAGUCUCACCUUUAGUCCCGGCUCGCCGUUUCCGGUUGGUAAUACUAACCGAGACUACAGGGGCGCCGGGCAGUGACGUGGCGCCACCCCUGGCCACCCCUUUUAGUCCCGGUUGGUAUGAACAACCGGGACUAAAGGGUUUUUUCCUUUUUCUUUUUCUUUUUCCUUUUCAUUUCUUUAUUGAUUUUGGUUUUUCAAUUGUAUAUGUUCUCCAAUUUAUUCAUAUACGCCGCUAUUAUCCGUAUACGUUGCACCUAUACGAGAGCGUCAUUAUUGCACACAAAUAAAGUAUGGAACUACAUAUAUAUAUUAUCAGUAUAAUAUAUAUAUCUAUACAUAUUAUAUAGCUAUACACAUACGUACAUACACAUUACAUUUACAAUAAUAAUAUUAUGUACAAGUAAUAAUCAAGUGUGCUGCCACCGGUUAAUGAUUACACAAUGUUUGUCCGCCCACUCAAAGCUCAUACAAGUGUUCGUCCUUGUUUGGAAUGGGCUUGAAGCCCUGUGGGUAUAAGUGGAACUCGCCGUCUUCCGGAAUGACAUGAUCGUUGAUAAAUCCGGCGAUCGUCUCCUGGACUCCAAGGAGUGAUGUGUAAUCGAACACUUUAUCUUUCAUAUUCCACUCCUUCCAUUUACAUUAGUUAAAAAAUAUAUUAAUAUACAUAAAAUCUAUUUAGUUCCAACAAAUAAAUAAGAUAUGAAUUUACUGUAUACACAUGUAUGUUACUUACUUUUAGAACACUUUGAGCAGUUUUAAAUAGGGUGCACCGCAAAAAUUCACAAACAUAGUAUCCACAUAGAUUCGUUCCAAACGGCUGUGCGGGCACCCAAGGGAGUAGAAGGAGGAGGAAGUGGCACAUUCAGAUCUGUACGAUAUCUUUGUUGUAGCUAAACCCAAGCCCUGCCUAAUAAGACGGUCGUUGAUUAGGUAUAGCUAGCAUAAUAAAGUAAAGGAGCACGCAUCGAUAUAUAAAGCAUGAUAUAUAGUUACCUCUGGAUCAUGUCUAUUAUGUUUUGAUAGAGUGCCAGGUAUUUUUUCAUUGAGUCCCACACAUUUAUUUUUUGUUCCGUGAUCUUAAUCUCAAUGAGUAUCCAAUGAUCUCUGCAUUUGUUUAGAGUCAACUUAUAUAUGUAUAUCUUAAUGCCGGAUUAACUAAGACAUGAUAUAACACAACACUUACCCCAUAUUGUAAGGGAAGAGUAUCUUCUCCGUAUGCCUUUGGUUAUAAAAGAACCUCCGGAGGUUCUUCUCCAUUUCCUUAGGCUUCAGAUUCAAUGGAUCUUUAGUCUUAGUGUCCUUGUAUACGACAUAUGGAUCGAUGAAACCAAUUCGAUUGUCUUUUUUCAAUCUUUGUUCUCUCAUCAUGUGUCUACACAUCGUGAGCGUAGUUAUUACGAAUACAUACAUAUGCUAUAAUGGGAUUAAUGAUUGAAAGGAAGAACACUUACAGACAGUAGC
This 1671-nucleotide long non-coding RNA is filed under the name Sorghum bicolor (sorghum). Its description in RNAcentral is "long non-coding RNA (SBIC_LNC013025)". The record is from RNAcentral. Lineage: Eukaryota; Viridiplantae; Streptophyta; Magnoliopsida; Poales; Poaceae.